GAAGGCAGAAGAGAGGGAGAGGUGUGGGGAUUUUAUGGGAGGCAUGGGGCUACUGAAAAUCAGAUGUUAAGACCCUUAGAAAAGACCUCUUUAAAAAGAUAAAAGAUUUGAAUUCUAUUUAAAAUCAAAUAGCCUCUUAAUACAAGUUCUACUUGCAUUAGGAAUCCUUAUAGCCUUAGAUAUUUGACUCCCUUUUGGAGAUCCAUUAGGUGCCAACUAUUGGAGCCUUUUCACCCACUUUUUCACAUGCCACAUGAAGCUUAAGGGAUGCCCUUUGCUGGUCCCACAC
This 289-nucleotide long non-coding RNA is filed under the name Elaeis guineensis (African oil palm). RNAcentral describes it as "long non-coding RNA (EGUI_LNC012510)". Lineage: Eukaryota; Viridiplantae; Streptophyta; Magnoliopsida; Arecales; Arecaceae. The record is from RNAcentral.